GGCAGCAGUGAGGAAUAUUGGUCAAUGGGCGCUAGCCUGAACCAGCCAAGUAGCGUGAAGGAUGACUGCCCUAUGGGUUGUAAACUUCUUUUAUAUGGGAAUAAAGUGCAGUAUGUAUACUGCUUUGCAUGUACCUUAUGAAUAAGGAUCGGCUAACUCCGUGCCAGCAGCCGCGGUAAUACGGAGGAUCCGAGCGUUAUCCGGAUUUAUUGGGUUUAAAGGGAGCGUAGGCGGGUUGUUAAGUCAGUUGUGAAAGUUUGCGGCUCAACCGUAAAAUUGCAGUUGAUACUGGCAUCCUUGAGUACAGUAGAGGUAGGCGGAAUUCGUGGUGUAGCGGUGAAAUGCUUAGAUAUCACGAAGAACUCCGAUUGCGAAGGCAGCCUGCUGGACUGUAACUGACGCUGAUGCUCGAAAGUGUGGGUAUCAAACAGGAUUAGAUACCCUGGUAGUCCACACAGUAAACGAUGAAUACUCGCUGUUUGCGAUAUACAGUAA
This 495-nucleotide ribosomal RNA is filed under the name uncultured bacterium. Its description in RNAcentral is "bacterial SSU rRNA". It matches the Rfam family "Bacterial small subunit ribosomal RNA", at positions 347 to 842 of the family's 1533-position model. The record is from RNAcentral.